AGUGAACGCUGGCGGUAGGCCUAACACAUGCAAGUCGAACGGCAGCACAGUAACAGCUUGCUCUUACGGGUGGCGAGUGGCGGACGGGUGAGGAAUACAUCGGAAUCUACUUUUUCGUGGGGGAUAACGUAUGGAAACUUACGCCAAUACCGCAUACGACCUACGGGUGAAAGCAGGGGAUCUUCCGACCUUGCGCGAUUGAAUGAGCCGAUGUCGGAUUAGCUAGUUGGCGGGGUAAAGGCCCACCAAGGCGACGAUCCGUAGCUGGUCUGAGAGGAUGAUCAGCCACACUGGAACUGAGACACGGUCCAGACUCCUACGGGAGGCAGCAGUGGGGAAUAUUGGACAAUGGGCGCAAGCCUGAUCCAGCCAUACCGCGUGGGUGAAGAAGGCCUUCGGGUUGUAAAGCCCUUUUGUUGGGAAAGAAAAGCAGCAGGUUAAUACCCCGCCGUUCUGACGGUACCCAAAGAAUAAGCACCGGCUAACUUCGUG
This 492-nucleotide ribosomal RNA is filed under the name uncultured bacterium. Its description in RNAcentral is "partial 16S ribosomal RNA". It matches the Rfam family "Bacterial small subunit ribosomal RNA", at positions 29 to 507 of the family's 1533-position model. The record is from RNAcentral.